AGUGAACGCUGGCGGUAGGCCUAACACAUGCAAGUCGAACGGCAGCACAGUAAGAGCUUGCUCUUACGGGUGGCGAGUGGCGGACGGGUGAGGAAUACAUCGGAAUCUACUUUUUCGUGGGGGAUAACGUAGGGAAACUUACGCUAAUACCGCAUACGGCCUACGGGUGAAAGCAGGGGAUCUUCGGACCUUGCGCGAUUGAAUGAGCCGAUGUCGGAUUAGCUAGUCGGCGGGGUAAAGGCCCACCAAGGCGACGAUCCGUAGCUGGUCUGAGAGGAUGAUCAGCCACACUGGAACUGAGACACGGUCCAGACUCCUACGGGAGGCAGCAGUGGGGAAUAUUGGACAAUGGGCGCAAGCCUGAUCCAGCCAUACCGCGUGGGUGAAGAAGGCCUUCGGGUUGUAAAGCCCUUUUGUUGGGAAAGAAAAGCAGCAGGUUAAUACCCCGCUGUUCUGACGGUACCCAAAGAAUAAGCACCGGCUAACUUCGUG
Molecule: ribosomal RNA, 492 nt
Filed under: uncultured bacterium
Lineage: Bacteria
Description: partial 16S ribosomal RNA
Rfam family: Bacterial small subunit ribosomal RNA
Source: RNAcentral